Molecule: transfer RNA, 58 nt
Filed under: Caldisalinibacter kiritimatiensis
Lineage: Bacteria; Bacillati; Bacillota; Tissierellia; Tissierellales; Thermohalobacteraceae
Rfam family: tRNA
About the family: Transfer RNA (tRNA) molecules are approximately 80 nucleotides in length. Their secondary structure includes four short double-helical elements and three loops (D, anti-codon, and T loops). Further hydrogen bonds mediate the characteristic L-shaped molecular structure. tRNAs have two regions of fundamental functional importance: the anti-codon, which is responsible for specific mRNA codon recognition, and the 3' end, to which the tRNAs corresponding amino acid is attached (by aminoacyl-tRNA synthetases). tRNAs cope with the degeneracy of the genetic code in two manners: having more than one tRNA (with a specific anti-codon) for a particular amino acid; and 'wobble' base-pairing, i.e. permitting non-standard base-pairing at the 3rd anti-codon position.
Source: Rfam by way of RNAcentral
GGCCCAGUAGUUCAGUUGGUUAGAAUGCCAGCCUGUCACGCUGGAGGUCGAGGGUUCG